CCUACGGGUGGCAGCAGUCGAGAAUCAUUCACAAUGGGGGAAACCCUGAUGGUGCGACGCCGCGUGGGUGAAUGAAGGUCUUCGGAUUGUAAACCCCUGUCAUGUGGGAGCAAAUGAAAAAGAUAGUACCACAAGAGGAAGAGAAGGCUAACUCUGUGCCAGCAGCCGCGGGAAUACAGAGGUCUCAAGCGUUGUUCGGAAUCACUGGGCGUAACGCGGGCGUAGGCGGUUUCGUAAGUCGUGUGUGAAAGGCACGGGCGCAACCCGCGGACGGCACAUGAUAGUGCGAGGCUAGAGUAAUGGAGGGGGAACCGGAAUUCUCGGUGUAGCAGUGAAAUGCGUAGAUAUCGAGAGGAACACUCGUGGCGAAGGCGGGUUCCUGGACAUUAACUGACGCUGAGGCACGAAGGCCAGGGGAGCGAAAGGGAUUAGAUACCCCAGUAGUC
This 446-nucleotide ribosomal RNA is filed under the name uncultured bacterium. Its description in RNAcentral is "partial 16S ribosomal RNA". It matches the Rfam family "Bacterial small subunit ribosomal RNA", at positions 338 to 795 of the family's 1533-position model. The record is from RNAcentral.